AAGAAAGAACUAAGGAACUGCUAAUUCCUUAUACCUCAUCU
RNAcentral lists this transfer RNA (41 nucleotides) under Mammuthus sp. Its description in RNAcentral is "partial tRNA-Ser". The record is from RNAcentral. Lineage: Eukaryota; Metazoa; Chordata; Mammalia; Proboscidea; Elephantidae.